Molecule: unclassified non-coding RNA, 207 nt
Filed under: Hevea brasiliensis (rubber tree)
Lineage: Eukaryota; Viridiplantae; Streptophyta; Magnoliopsida; Malpighiales; Euphorbiaceae
Source: RNAcentral
GUGGGUUUCUCUUGGAGGUGUUGUGCUCUGCAUAACAGGAUCUGAAGCCAUGUUCGCUGACCUAGGCCACUUCAAUGUCAGAGCAAUUCAGGCUUCCCGUGAAAGGUUGAAGAAAGAUGAAGCUCGCAAGUAUUUUCAAGAGCUAAUCAAUGCUGUGGAUUAUUGUCACAGCAGAGCUGUCUUUCGUAGGGACCUAAAUGGGAGAAG